GUAGGUGGCAAGCGUUGUCCGGAAUUAUUGGGCGUAAAGCGCGCGCAGGCGGUUCUUUAAGUCUGAUGUGAAAGCCCACGGCUCAACCGUGGAGGGUCAUUGGAAACUGGAGAACUUGAGUACAGAAGAGGAAAGCGGAAUUCCACGUGUAGCGGUGAAAUGCGUAGAGAUGUGGAGGAACACCAGUGGCGAAGGCGGCUUCCUGGUCUGUAACUGACGCUGAGGCGCGAAAGCGUGGGGAGCAAACAGGAUUAGAUACCCUGGUAGUCCACGCCGUAAACGAUGAGUGCUAAGUGUUAGGGGGGUUUUCCGCCCCCCUUAGUGCUGCAGCUAACGCAUUAAGCACUCCGCCUGGGAGUACGGCCGCAAGGCUG
RNAcentral lists this ribosomal RNA (374 nucleotides) under uncultured organism. RNAcentral describes it as "partial 16S ribosomal RNA". It matches the Rfam family "Bacterial small subunit ribosomal RNA", at positions 527 to 896 of the family's 1533-position model. The record is from RNAcentral.